Numida meleagris (helmeted guineafowl) is the source of this 11912-nucleotide long non-coding RNA. RefSeq lists it as uncharacterized. The transcript has 12 exons. The record is from RefSeq and is a predicted model, not a curated record. NCBI's taxonomy places the organism in Eukaryota, Metazoa, Chordata, Aves, Galliformes, Numididae.
GCGCCGUCGCCACAGCAAAAGCGCUCCUGAGCGGCGGCGCUUCUGGCGACCUUCCGAGAUGGUGCUAAACGCACCUCGAAAAUAAACAAACAAACAAAAAAGACGUUAGUUUCGUGGCCAGCAAUGUGGCAAGGAUCGUAGGGGGGAAAGAAAGGGGCUUUGAAAGAGUAAUCUGUAAUCUCUGAGUUAGCAAAUUGGCCUCAAGAAAGGAAAGCAAACGUGCAUGUGAGACAACCUGGGCAGCGCUGCGGUUCUGAAGAAAAACAGCCUUUUUCUGACUGAAGAGGAUGAAGGAAAACAAGAGCUUUGCAACAACCCCCUAUCACUGCUGUGCAAUCCCAAUUCAAGCCUUUCGUGGCUCUGGGAAAGUGGCAGGAGCUCUGCUUGACACCAUUAACCUUGACUGUCAGGGUUCUUUGUGGGUAUGAAGGGUUACAGUCCUUUUACUGACCUGUCCUGCUUCUGAGGAUAACCAAGCUGCCAGCAGCACUGCACAGAGGGGUAUUUAUGUUCUCCCAUGGCAACACAGAUGUGCUGGUCACGAAACACCUACAGAUGACAUCCUGAAACUGCUAGCCUUGAAAAUGGCUGUGAACUCCAUAUCGUGAUGAUUUUCAGCGCUGUUUUCCAGAACAUUCAAAGUUACUACUGCUCUUUGACUUCAAAUGUUUUGGAUGCCAGUAUUGGACAUCACGCCUCAGGGGAAGAGACUUCACCUACUUACCUUGCCCCAUGGAACAGAGAAAGAGGUAACUUUGGAGUAAUCCCCCAGUUCCUCAUCCUGAGAGCUUCACAUUAGCCAACAAGUCUGGGUACAAGUUGGUAUCUACUUUGCUCACACCAGUCCUACCAGACGUCAGAGUAUCCAGAGCCAGAACUUUGUUUCCUGACCAUCUCCAGCUGUUAUUGCACCUCCUGGCAUGGGAAACAGAGCCAUUGAGCACAAUGCAUCUUUGGGGUGACAGUCGCAUCACACGGAUCCGAGGGCCAGGAAUGAGCAGGAUGACGUGUUGUUGUGGUCACCCCAUUCCUUAAGUCCGUGUGGGGUUUGCAGAAGGCAGGCAGGCUGGGAACGAUGCUCUUCAGACACCCAGUGUGAUCUUUACUCAACCAGGGAAGGAUGCCAACUGUGAGUUUUGUCCAGGGAUUUGACUCAGCUGCAAGAAGAUCGUGCUGACGUACGUGAUUUUCAAUGACAAAAAAGCCACCAAUGAGCUUCAAGGCCCAUCCAAUUGCUCAUGGAAGGAGAAACAGUCACAACCGGCCCAGCCAGCAGCCAACACCAACUUCUAUGGCUCAGUCCUCUGGAAAAGCACCAUGGCCUCCCGCUGCCGUUGGAGCAACGCCAGGCAAAUAAUUUCGGAACAGGAGAUGGGACAGGGUGGCAGCAAAAACUUCUGAUGACAUUAGGCUGCUCUGUUUUGCUCUGCCUGGAAAGGAAAGCAGACUUGCUACUUGAGGAUGUACCAUAAUGGUCAGAGCAGAUCUAUACUGAGGUUGGUGGGGAAGGCUCGGCCCUUCUUUCCCAUUCGAUCUGCCUUGGGCUGGAGAGCAUGUGUCCCUGUGCUGUUCUUCCACCCACCAUCAAUAUGUCCGCAUCCGAGCUUUCCUACCAAGCCUUUAAGCCAAAAACACCGAAAGAACUCUUGAGUUUUUCAUUCUUUCAUUUUUGAGGAACUGAAUUUGAGACCCCGCUGCUGAGUUUCAAUGCUGCCAAAUAGCAGUAGGUCUGCUAGCUGCUGAGUGCUCAUUGCUGCUCAGAAUCAUGGUAUUUGUUGCUUAGAGUUCUGCUUAAAACCUUAGCAAGACCUGGGAGAUACUGAAAAGAGGAUGUAUCGCUUAGAAAGAAAGGAGUGUGAAUCUAAGUACAAUUUAAGGUCUGCUCCUUGAGCACGAUGAGACCAGCUACCCAAAAGCAUUUAGUGCUUUCAAAAAAAAAAAAAAAAGAAAGAAAGAAAGAAAGAAAGCAAAAAGUCCCCAUUCCCUGCUGAAAUGCAGAGGAAAUACAUGCUCAGGAAUAUAUCUGAAAACGAAGCUGGUUAUCUUUCUUCAUCCUUUGAUCUCAAGUGUCUUUUGAAAUCUGGCCUCCAAGUGAUAAACCCAAGGAUGCAUGAAAUCAAGCACCGAAUCUUUAUCUCCUCCACUUGUGCGUCUCUGCGCUGUGAUUCACAGCACAGAUCCAUUCCUCUCCAGGACUGUUUCUGACUCACAGCCAUCAACAAGACAAGUCCCAGAAAUAAGGAUGCUGGGCAGCAUCAUGGAGCAGGGGAAUGGCCCGACGGUGAGCAAUUGCCCUGCAGGCACCCUCAUCUCCUCCUGUCUACACUGCUGCUGCAUUUGGCCCUGGGUUCUCCCCAGGUGUUUGAAGAAUAGAAAGAUCUUCCCUUAAUCCUUGACCUGCACUGCGAACCGUGGAUCCAGUCAUUUCUGAACCAGCACCCACAGAGAAUCUGAGAGCUUCUUAGGCCGAGAGUGCAGGAGGGAGGAGGGUGCCAGGAGAGACAACCGGUGAUGUAGCAAAGGGAAAUCUGAAGUUUCCCUUCUGCUUUUUCAUGCAUAACAGCGUCUUUAUGCCUCAUUUCCAUCUUCACAGCUCCUGUAAUUUACAUAAUGAACAUUUGCGAAGCCUGAGAUCUAGGUUCACUUUGUAUCACAUUGACUGUAGAUGACCUUCAACACAUUAUCAGAGAAGUUUCCCAGGCGGUUUUCCCAAAGGGUAUGGCUAUGAAACAUAGGACCAUCAGGAAAGAGAAAAGGAGAAUAAAACCAGAUUUCUGAGAUAUCUGUCUUUCAAAGAUAUAUUUUCCACAGCAGGGAAAAAAAAAAGAAUUAAAAAAAAGGAGUUUGGGACUCAACAACUUGCUUCUUUAAACUCAGUAUUGGUAGAGGGCCCAUCAGUAAAGUAAUUUAAUUAGGUUUGCUUUUCCAGAUCCGCAGAAAGAAUAUUUCCAUAGCAGAAUGGAUUUGGAGAAAGUGAAGUUCAUAAAAGACUGCAAGCAGGGAAGCAGUUUUAUUUGCAUUCCUUCGUAAAUAGUGGCUGUAAGAUGAGCGUAUCCAUUUUGGCCACCUGAUCAGGUACUACAUCAGGAAAAAUCUAACAGCGCAUACGGGGCAGCGUAGGCAGAGAUUGAAGAUGGAAGAGGAAUCCCGACCUCAAAGGUGAGAGCAGGACAUCAGGGUACAAGCGGGCACCUGGAGCCCAUUGUGGCUUUGUGAGGGUGUCAGGUGCAGCCGUGAUUCCUCCUGCUAACAGCGUGCAGUAAGCGCAUGGUGAUAAAGCAGGAGCUGGGGAGCUGACCCCUUGUUCCUCUGACACCCCUCCAUGAAGCACCGUUCUCAUCAGCCCCCUCGUGAGCGGCAGCACAGCCUGCCUGGCAGCCCUGGCAAGUUGCACGGCCGCUGUUACACCGCACAGAGUGUUACACCAACGUGCAGCAGCGGCAGAGCAACUUCUCCCGUUGUCGUGUGGGUGCUGGAUAAGCACAGCUCAGGGAUAAUCUCUCAUCUGAUGAGUGCCUGGGAGUUUUCUUUUGUUCUUUGGGCUAUCAAGCUGGUUGUUGUUCGCUCCAGUGACGGAGAGUGCUUUGAAAGAGAGAUGCAUUUUGCAACUGACUCGAGGGCUUUAUUUGUGUAGAAAAUUAACUGGAAGUUGAAAUACAGAGGCUCAUUCUGGUGAUGAAGGAGGGAUCUCAUGUUAGCUGUCAUAAGACUCCUCAGAUAAAAUGAAUCUUAUGCACCACCACGAUAGGCGUGCUAGAAAUGGUCUGGUGCUGUUCUCAUCAUCGAAGACCGAGCGUAUAAGAAGUACUGCUCUAAGCAAUAAGCACAAGCUGCUAGAAAAAAAUUACUUUUGAUUCCUUUGUUCUUUUAGCAUAGCACCUUGUGUGAUCUUUCUGGGCAAGCAUGUGUAUUUACCUGCUGCAGAUGUGUGGUUGCUGUUAGCUCGUAUUUUCUGGCCUCCUGUGUAUUGCAAGAAGUUUAUCAGUGUAUCCUGUGCGGCUUGAUGCUACCCAUACAUGGUCAACUGCAGCCUGGUGAUCUUUACCACCUUGUUUCCUUCGGUGUGGUCUGGCUCUCUCUCCGGUUGUUAGCUUGGUCUGUAGAGAGCUCUAAGCAUUCAGAAGGUAAGUUGCAUGUUGCAGAAUUUUCACCAUGGGACCAAAUGCAAAAUGGAGCUGGUGGGAAGGGGCACCCAGCUGAAGUCCCUGUGACAGCCCCCAUCCCUGUGGGAGGGAUGCUUUCUCCUUCCAUCUUUUUUUUUUUUUUUAAUGCUACCGUAUAGUGUUUAAUAAUUCAAUAUAUACAUAAUCCAAACUAAGCACACUAAUUAACCUUUGUUUUGAGAAAUUUAAUUAAUGCUUAGUCUCUAUUCAGACUCUAAACAGUUUGGAGUGGGAAAGGUGCCACGGGGAAAGCGUGACAGAAUAUGUUCAAUAUUGAGCACCUUCAAUUAUUUAAGCAGAAACGUGGGCUAGACCAAUUAAGAAAAAAGAAAGUUGUUACACAGUCGUGUGUGUGCUAAAAUAACUGCAUGUGGUGCUCCCAAACUCUCAUCCUGAAGCAGAAAAAGCAUUAGCCACACAGAAGGCAGCUCCAUGGAGGAGAGAGUCUGGCUUGGGAGCGCUUUUGCUGCUUGCGGGGAGCCCCGAACCUUCCUGCUGGAGCUCAGGAUGGGAGAGGAAGGAACCUGAACUCAGUUGCUGGCAGUGGCUGCCCACCCUGGCUGGGUAAAGCUGGGCACUGCAUCCUGCUCUGCAUCCCAGAGAGGUGAUGAAUUUUCUGAAAGGUCAGAUGCUGUGCUCUGACUCACUGGUACUAGUCCUCUGCGGCCCAAAUGCCUUCAAAAUACAUCACUGUAUGAUAACAAUUUUCUCCAAAUGCUCAAGCUUUAGUAUUCUUCCCCAGCUGAACUGUAAAUAAAAUUAUUUCCUAAGAGCACUUAUUUGAGCUUGAUUAUUAAAUACAUUGCCAAAAUCUGGUCGGUUAAUAUACUGCCUGCUACUUGAGCUGAAGUAUCUAGAAGACAAAGAAAGAAGUAAACGAAAAGGAAAUCAACAUUUUGCUAAAUUGCAUGUUUUUAAAAAUCCUGUAAUUGAGGCUGCUACUUCAUUUCCAUUUGUAAAACAGAUUGAGUUCCCUUUCCAUCUACUAAUGGAUUUGGUUUAUCUCUGCUACUAAUUGCAGCAUUUGCAUGGCUCACACAGGCUGCUCGUGACAGGACGUUGAGUAAGGAAAGUCAAAGUGCUGCUGCUGUGCUGUGGGGUGUCAUUUAGGAGCAGUGCUCGGUGCUGAGCUCUGCUGAACUUCAGGCCCUUGUUCUUUUUCCUGUGGCUCCAAAGUCUGGGUCAAUCAACCAAGAUAAACUUGUUAAUUUGCUGUCAGGAUGAUGUGCCUCAGGUCUCACUUGAGAAGCAGUGGGAAGGUUCAGGUGAUAAUAAGGCGAUACCAGACAGUCUGGAUGUUUAAUUAAACUUGGCCGUGCCCUCUUUGACCUAGUGAGUGGGCUGGAAAUGUCACCAGAACAAAGGUUGCUCAUGAGGUUUGCACGUGUGCCUCUGCUUUGCAGGGUUUGUGACGGAGGUGGGGGUUUGCACCAUUUUUCCUCAUGUUUUCACAUCACCAUUGAGAAGGGAAUUGUGUUCUGAAGCUCUGGGCGGAAAGAAAACAAACUGUGUGUGUGUGUGUGAUGAAUAAGCCUUUUCUUAGGACCUGCUAUAGCAAAUGAGUUUGCGUGCUUCUGAAUGAAGCAAUAUGUACGAUUCUGGGACUUGGGUCUCGUGGUAAAUAGAGAAACCACACUGUUAACAUCCUAGCCAGUGUUCAGCUCUUAAUUAGCAGCAGGGCUGCUCUGAAGCUCAGGUACAAGCUACUUUUAUUGCUGGGGUGGGAGGGCAAGCAGCCUUUCAUAGCGUUGUCCCCAGGAACAUGGGCUGUAUCAGCCCCCUCAGUAGCAAGCAAACCAAGGAUUCACAUUUUGGCUUCCAUUGUUUCACCCUACGUUUACAAACAGAGGCUUUAUUAUGAUUUUUAAGGCACUCUUGAAAGCAAUCCAUCAGAUUCUCAGGGAGUUCAGCGUGGCAAAGAAAGCCCCAGCUACAGAGUCGCCUUUGUGGAGCAGGUCUGUGGGCUCUCUGCCAUCGGCGCAGCAGGAGAGCGUUGUAAUAAUGACACCAACAUCUACCAGAUGUCUUCUGGAGGAUUUUGUUUCAAGAUGCAUGGCUGCUAGUUCACAAGAGCGUGUGGGGGGUUUUCUGCCCUAAUAUACAUGAUUUGUUUAAAAACUUUGCAGGUGUUAGAAUUUUUAUUGAAGUCAGAGAGCUGAGAAAUUAUAUACAGUCGGUGAGGUAAUGCUUUCUCCUCUCAGAUGGGAGCAGAGAGUGUACACAAUCUGUACUGAAUAAGGGGCAGCUGUGUUGCCAGCACAAUUUUAUACAUCUGAAAACGAAUCCCAGCCAUACCAAGCGAGCUCUCAGUUCCUGCAAAUCCUUGCAGACAGCAAGAAAAUCCACUGAUCACUUGCUGCUUUCCUCCAGGAGCUUGCAGGGCAGACCCUCCCCAUGGCUGGUGGUGGUGGGGGACCUCUUGCUGCAGCUCUGUUUGUGCCAGCACCACGUCUGGCCAGCUGCAAGGAACUCCGAGCCCCCCAGCUCUUCCCCACAGCCCGCAGCCAUGCCCUGACAGCUGUAGGGAAGAGCUGGGGGGAUUAGGGCUUGCAGUGGCUUUGGGGAGCAGGACAGCUGCUUCCUCUGUCAUCACAUCGUGCGAGGAUUUUGUUUCUUUUUCUCUGGGCUCGAUUCAGCCGCUUGCUGAAGCUCUAGCCUGUAGAGAUUUGAGAUUUUUUUUUUAUUACGAUGAUUUUUAUAUAGGUAGGUUGUAGUGUCAGGAUAUGAGGUUGAAAGGGCAGGUCUGAGUCAACCCUCCGAUGAAUUCUAAGUAUUUCCUUUCUACGUGGAUGAGAUCCAAAAUUCUAUCUCGGUUCAAAAAGCCCCACUUAUUUCUGAUGCUCGUUCGCAUAGACUUUGAACCCUUUGUGUCUGUAGAAGAGGGUUGGUCAUUCGAGUUCAGCACAGCUCUUUCCUAAGAACCUGGGAUGUGCAGAGUCAGCAGGGGAAAUAUUUUGGGGUGGCAACUCAAAGGGCCGUACUUAUUCAUAUAUUAGUAUAUAAAAUGUAUGUAUAAAUAAUAUAUGUGCAGAGGACAAAGGUGCUGCAGAUUGGAGCCCCUCUGUCAGGGCCCCCUGCACCCAAUCACAUUGUUCCUUCGCCUUCUGCGUCCCUGGGCUGGACACAUCCCAUAGGGUCUCUCAGUUGCCUGUAAAUAUACCCUUAUUUUGUUCCAGGCUUUCUUUUCCCUUAUUGCUGCAUUUUGCUCAGCGUAAUGAUUUGAGGGCAUCAUUUUCAAUUUCCUCUAUGGAGCCAAAAUUAAUAUCAUGUUAUGCCAUCAUGUAGCAGAGCGAGGCUUUAAGCAUCCACCAACAGUAUGCAUAUUUGAAAAUAACCUGAUGGCUUCUAAAACCCAGUACUGCUUCAAACCACUGCCUUAGUCCACUGUAAAGAUCUGUGGCACCUGUUUGAACUGCAGCACCGGGAGAACAACGCUAGUUGGUACCUGUCACUGUCACCAUCCAACAUCCUGAGUUGGAAGAGGCCCACAAGGGUCAUCAAGUCAUUGAUUGAGAGGUGCUGGUUCUCAUUUUCCCCCCAUCUGCACAGGGCAGCUCCUCUUCCUGGGGCUCAUUUCCUUGGUCCCCAGGCCUGGUGGGCAAAAUUUGAAGAUUUCAGUUUGUACCCUUCUGCUCAUGCCUUGCCCUUUACCAGGGAGAUAGCUGUGUUUUGCUUUGAGAAAUCCAUUUAGGUGAGAGAAACAGAAGAAAGUUCAUCAAAACUCUACAUUGUGACUGCGGUCCUUGUGGCUGCGUCCCACUGUUUCAAGGGAAUUUUGGUCCCCUCCGCCUCUUCUUCACCGUGGCUCAUUGGGGCCAGGCAGCGCCAAACAGACUCAAAAUGGUGACAGAUGGACAGGCAGAGGUCAGCUGGCCAUCUUGGUUUAUAAGAGCUCUUGCUCGCUGUGUUCCAGAGCUGCUCGGGCUUUUCAUUCAUUUUGAAGCCGGAUUGCUGUGCUUAAGUGCUGGCGCGGGCUGCUUGCAGGAGCAGGAAACCACUCCCUUUAUCCUCACUUGAUCUUUGGGAGUUAAGUAUGUGCAGUGCCCUUGUCAGCAGUAAGAGCCUCGCAAGGGGUGAGGGGAAAGAAAUGUUAACACGGAUGUUUACCGUAACUUCUUGCUUUGUGUGGAGUGGGGAAACUGGGGAGGAGAGGAGCUAAGGGAGCGAGGUCUGCAGAGCAGGAAAAAAAAGCUGAGGUUGUGUCGGAUUGAAUCUGUAAUUCCCUUGAUUUUUGCACUGGCUUUUCUUUGGCCCAGCGUUUUUUUUUAAAUUGUUAUUUAAACUCACCAUUCUAUUAGAAGAGAAAGAUAAUUGCUUUUUCUUUCUUCUGCUGGAGCUUCUCAACGUGAUUAAGAUAUGGAAGACAAACGACUGGAUGUAAGGAUGAUGUAAUGGAUAGAGAUGAGCCAAAGUCACUGUGGCCCAGUUUAAAAACCAUGGCACUUCUCCAGGAUCUAUUUGUUUCUCUUAAUACGGCGAUUUGUUUUUAUAUAUUGCUCUCCAUAAUUAUCAUCACACUAUGUACUCGCUGGCUCUAGGUUCAAUGUAAUAUAAAUCCAGAAUUAGUCUAUUGAAGUCAACGUCGGAUACGUUUGCUUUAACAACUAAACUAGGUCUUAGUCUUGUUUAUCCUACUGUAGCUCCAAAACAGCUCUCCCAAAGUAAAUACAGCUCCUCUCUCAACAGGGUUUUCUGAAAAGCCCUUGUUGUGCCCCUUGGCUACACCUCCCACCCUUGUGCUGCACUGCAUGCUGCACUGCUGCUCUCUUGUGCCUCUUGCUAUGGCUUCAGACUCAGCCUUGCCUUAAGCCCAUCUAUGUUUGCCCAGGCUGGAGAAGCAAGGAUAUCUUGGUCAUCUCCUCCCUCUGUGCCACUGGUGAUGCAGAUUGGUGUUUGGGCACAGCCUAAACUCUAAGGCAGACCUUAGAAUCAUAGAAUCAUAGAAUUAGCUAGGUUGGAAAAGACCUACAAGAUCACCUAGUCCAACCAUCCACCUACCACCAACAACCCCACUGAACCAUGUCUCUCAACACUACAUCUAAACGUUUCUUGAACACCUCCAGGGACAGCGACUCAACCACCUCCCUGGGCAGCCCAUUCCGGCGCCUGACCACUCUUUCAGAAAAGUAGUGUUUCCUAAUGUCCACCCCAUAAAAUCAUAGAUCAGACUGAGAAGUAAUACUCUUGAACACAGAAGGUUAAGCACCAGAUUCUGUUGUAAUACUGGGUCUAGAGACAGCUUUUAAAGGGCCGUGAGAUCCCUUGAUUUCUUUACUGGGCCGCUCUGGUGAGCCACACAAGGCUGUGGUUCUUGGGAGCAGAUGAAGGAGCUCACUUCUGCUGAUCAUCACCAGCCAAGCUGGAUCUUUAACUCGUUUGUUUGUGAUCUCCAGCCAUCAAAGCCAGAAAUGGAGCGGUCAUAUGUGCUGAUCCCUGACCAUGCUCCGGGGUCUCAGCUGUCAUCCAGGGAUUUGGGUGCUGAGUUUGGGGGUGAAGGCGGAGAGGCCCCAAAGGCUACGGCUAAGUUCGGGGAAAGCCGCAUCAGCUCUGCGAAAACUGCGAAAGGAGAGUAAGGGCUGUGAAUAUGGGAGGCGAUGCUGAGGGCUGGGGAGGCAGCGGGCGAGCAGCCAAGCUGAGGUUGAGAAAACCUCUUCAGGCUGGAGAACAGCCAUGCAGCUGGAAGCCAUCAGGGCCGCGGCGCUGGGAGCAGGAGGGCAGGCACAUGCUGCGGCGUGCUGCUGGCUGCAGUGCUGCUGCUGGUGGUGAAGGCUUGGCCGUGCUCAGGUUUGCUCCUACCUGAGCGGGUGGUCAUGACACCAACCUGCGGCGCGCUCUGGGAGUCGCUUCUAUCCGACAGGGGAGAAAAUAACUUUUCAAUCUCUUCCGAUGUUUGUUUCUGAUAAUUUGGUGGAAUUUGCAGUGCACAUCUAGGGGUGCCCAAAAUGCUCCUCAUACUUCGCUGCAUUUUCCACAAACUUUCUAUUCGGUAGAUGUGCAAUAAUUGCACUUCACAGCUAUAUUCUGUUACUUGAUAAGACAGCUGCAAAAAAGCUAUUUUCUGAUUUUCAGAUACGGCAGUUUAUCUCUAAUGUGAGUUUUCACUGGCAGUUAAAGAAGUUCCUAGAAAACUGUUCCAACUUCUCCCUCAGUAACCAAGGUGGUAGGAGGCAGAUAAAACUUAUCCUCUACUAAUAACCAGCAAAGAGAUUAGAAUUUGUUUAGCUGUAAACUGAGGGCCAUUCAUUUUUUUGAGAUGACACACGGAUCACCUCUACCCCAAGGAGGAAGAGGAUGGUUAGCUCUACCAAACCUGGGCUGGAGGAUAUAGUGUUUUGGCUGAAAAGAUUUGGGGCAAAAAACUUGCAACCCAAAGUUCAUAGUUUUGAUUUGGAAAUUUCAUCAGGAGGGGAUAAGGAAAAUGCUGGAGGACUUUAGCCUGGCCGUACGUCCCAUGCUAUCCUGCAGCGCUCUCUCAAAUGGGAAUAAAAUGUUCCAGUGCCAUAUGAGGGAUGAGGUGGGGCUUGGGAGGCAUUUAUUGUUACGCAGAUACUGAUUUUCCAUAGGAAAGCAACCUUUUUCUCAUCAGAUUUUAGCUGGAGAAAAAAAAUGAAUUGCCAUAAAACCUUGCACGUGCUGGCUGCGUGCAUUGCUUCAGAACCCAGAGAGCUCCUGCUCCCUCUCUGAGUGCCCCAAACCAGCAAUAUCCUACUGGCUUCUUCUCCCCAUUAAAAUUCAAAACACAGCCUUUCUCUCCAUUUCUGUUCUCAGAUGACAUUUAAACCUGUCAGCAGUUACAACUGGUGUCAUGUAAUCUCUGUAACCAAUGCAAAAAUUGCUCUCUUGCUUCACGAUGGCCUCUAAAAACAGAAAAAGCAAUGGAAAGAGGAUGGCUAAGUCCUCCACAAAUACUCCAAAACUCCCAUCUGCUGCUUUCUGUGUUUCUUGGUCUGAAAGCAUUCCCACCACUCCUUCCCUCGGACAGCAAGAUAAACCUGCCUUCAUAGUUAGCAGUCUGCUGUCCCAAGCUGCAGAGAGCGAGCGAGCUUGAUUUUGCUGCAUCCCAUUUGGCCACGAGGAGAGACAGCCAUUCCCUUUAAGCCUCAGAUGAGAUUUCUUCCACAUGUAGCUCAGCGUAUUGGAGUGCGUUUCUGGAUAAAUAUUCUUCAGACAGAAACAGUUCCGUGUCUGCACACAAAGCCGGAGCCGGCGAGCGCACGGGCAUGCGCUAAUGCCGCCUCGAGCUUUGAAUGAGCACGCAACCAUCUCAGUUGCUUUCGUUUGCUCUGGGCCUAAGUUUGGCCACCGGUAAACAGUAAUGUUGUAUUGUUGAUAGAAAGUGCUGCGGGUGAUGGACGGUCCUGCCCGCCUGUUUCCAUUUACCCGUGAUUAAUGUAUUCAAGCCUAUAGUCAUUUGUUUUUAUGAACUUCCCAAACAAAAACUUGAUGUUUCGGUACCAAGCUCAAAUAUGGGAACAAUUUUAUUCUCGAUGCCAGCGUUUCUGAUGCGAGAACUGAAAGGCAUCCAGAAAUGCUGUGUUUUCACGGAAUAUCCGUCGGUCCCCAGAUACAGCAUUGUUGAAGCAUUACAGAAGCAAAAACAAUCCCAGUGCCUUGAAAGCUUUUCGUUCUGCCUCUGCUUCACGGAAACACUGACUCAGGGCCAAAUGGCUGAUUGUAUCGUAUGAUGUAACAAGGAGUUAGAGAGCUUAGCAGGGAAUUAGAAUAAUGCAUUCUGUGUGUGCCUGUGUG